GAAAUCUCAAGGUCCAAAUCAGGAGCAGAAGGAGAAAGAACACGAGCAAGGAACUUAGGACCGCGAGGGGUGCACCCACACACUGAGACAAUGGGGAUGUUCUAAAAAGCCUGGGAUUAAACUGGACUCACUGAACAUAGAGGACAAUGAGGACUACUGAGAACUCAAGAACAAUGGCAAUGGGUUUUUGAUCCUACUGCACGUACUGGCUUUGUGGGAGCCUAGGCAGUUUGGAUGCUCACCGUACUAGACCUGGAUGGAGAUCUCUGAGCUCUGAGGGGAAGGCCUUGAUGAAGACAUGCUGUUUAGGGUGGAGUGCUCCAAAGUCUCUCAUUCUCUGUCUUUGUUUAACUGUGGGUCUUUGUGUUAAUUACCACCUAUUGGAAGAAAAAGUUUCUCUGGAAAAUGGAAAAUGGUGUAGGAGCUUCUUCUGUUUGUGUGUUGCUUUCAUUGGUUGAAUAAAGAGACUGUCUUGGCCUUUUGAUAGGGCAGCCCCUAGAUGGGCGGAGUAGACAAAACAGAAUGCUGAAAAGAAGAGAAGUGUGGCAGCUGCCAUGAAUCUUCGGCCUGAGACGGAUGUAGGUUAAAAUCUUGCUUGUAAGCCACAGUCACGUGGUGAUACACAGAUUUAAUAAAAAUGGGUUAAUCAAAAUGUGAAAGUUAGCCAAUAAGAAGCUAGAGCUAAUGGGCCAGAGAGUAAUUUAAUUAAUAUAAUUUCUGUGUCGUUAUUUUGGGUGUUAAGCUAGCCGAGCAGCCAGGAGCAGGGUGGAAAGGACAAAAAGCAGGCCCACAUCCUCCUUACUACAAUCAACUGUUUUAUAUAUGUAUAAAUAUUAUAUAUAAAGUGUUCAUGAAGUAUCUGUGGGAAGUAUCUCCUUAAAUAAUAUUUUUUCUAACAGCUUGGUCUAAAUAAGCAAAGGCAACACUAUCUUUGAAAAUAUCCAUUUCCUUAGUUUUCUCUUAAGGCUAAAUAUUUACCUUAGGAAAGAAACUUCAUAUCAAUAAUAAUUAUUCAUCAGGUAUUAAGAUGGAGCAGAGAAAGGUAUGUUAAAGUAACAAACAUAUUUAUUUUAAUUAAGGACUUUAGUAACAAAUUAACUUGAGCCCAAUCAUUACAUGUUGACAAAGCAAUGUGAGUAUAGCAUUGCUCCAGGUUAGAGCAGGGUUUUCCCACUAAGCAAUUGUCCCUGCUGUCAGACAUUGUAAAGGUCAUGCAAACAGGUCCCCACCCCUUCCUUUCACAAAGUGCUGUGUCAUUGUGAUACCUGAUCACAGAAGGACUCACCCUUAGUUUCACUGCUCACAAUGCCAGCAAGUGAAAAUCACUAGCUACCUAAUUCUUGACCUUGAAGCAAAGCUUGUUCAAGGAAAGCUGAAAGUCACUUAGUAUUAAAUUGUUUUUAAUGAGGCAAAUGAAAAUUCUUAUUAUAGCAAACGCAUACUUAAAAAAACAUUUUGAGUAUAUGAAAUCUACAGGAACGCAUCCGUUUGAGAUCUUAAAUCCCAGGCCCAUCAGCUCAAACUGUUUACAAGGGGAAGCAUACAAUAAUAAACAACAAUUUCACUCUUCUAUUAUUAAACCCUGGAUUUUCUGUCUUUGUAAAGUGCAUUCCAGAAUCCUAGCUGCUGUUUUGAAUGGGAUACUACCUAUUUGAGUCAGAAUUUUGAGCUACUAACAGUUUGGGAACAUAUUGCUUGCAGUGAUGUAUCAUCAUAUACAAACACUAAACAUAAAAUAUAAUUAAACAGAAAAGACAAAGAAAGUAUCUUUCAAUAGAUUCAGAAAAAUGUACUUGAUAGAAUAUGGCAUUCUUUAAUGAUCAAAUACCUCAACAAAGUAAGUGUAGAAAAUUGUUUCCCAACACAUCAUACUGUAUGGGGAAAUGUGGAUUCUGUCCUUUAGAAGAAGCACAGGGAGGAAGUUCACUUCCACCUCUCUCAGUCUGUGUCAUAUUGGAAGUCUUAUCCAGAGAAUGGACAAGUGAAAUAAAUUAUUGGUUUUGAAGAAAAAAAAGUGGAAGUCAAAUUAUUUUCAUUUGUGAG
This is a long non-coding RNA of Alexandromys fortis (reed vole), 2043 nucleotides long. RefSeq lists it as uncharacterized. The transcript has 3 exons. The record is from RefSeq and is a predicted model, not a curated record. NCBI's taxonomy places the organism in Eukaryota, Metazoa, Chordata, Mammalia, Rodentia, Cricetidae.